Molecule: unclassified non-coding RNA, 148 nt
Organism: Pongo abelii (Sumatran orangutan)
Lineage: Eukaryota; Metazoa; Chordata; Mammalia; Primates; Hominidae
Rfam family: Metazoan signal recognition particle RNA
About the family: The signal recognition particle (SRP) is a universally conserved ribonucleoprotein. It is involved in the co-translational targeting of proteins to membranes.
Source: Ensembl
GCCAGGUGUGGUGAUGCACACCUGUAAUCCCACCUACUUGGGAGGCUGAGGCAGGGGAAUUGCUUGAACCUGGGAGGCAGAGGUUGCAGUGAGCCGAAAUGGUGCCACUGUACUCCAGCCUGGGCAACAGAGUGAGACCCUGUCUCAA